Molecule: non-coding RNA, 30 nt
Filed under: Rattus norvegicus (Norway rat)
Lineage: Eukaryota; Metazoa; Chordata; Mammalia; Rodentia; Muridae
Source: RNAcentral
UCCCAUUCAGGAUGGGGCUUUCCGUUCAGU